ACCUCAAGUCAUGUGAGAGUACCCGCUGAACUUAAGCAUAUCAAUAAGCGGAGGAAAAGAAACUAACAAGGAUUCCCCUAGUAACGGCGAGUGAAGUGGGAAGAGCACAAAUUUUAAAUCUACUUGGUUUCCAGGUUGAGUUGUAAUUUGAGGAUACGUUUUUGAUAUUCCUGGUUGGACUAAAUCCUUUGGGAUAAGGUAUCAUAGAGGGUGAGAAUCCCGUGUAUACCAACCACAGGGAUGUUAUUUAAUAACGUUUCUAAGAGUCGAGUUGUUUGGGAAUGCAGCUCUAAAUGGGUGGUAAAUUUCACCUAAUGCUAAAUAUAAGCGAGAGACCGAUAGCGAACAAGUACAGUGAUGGAAAGAUGAAAAGAACUUUGAAAAGAGAGUUAAAUAGUACGUGAAAUUGUUGAAAGGGAAACGAUUGAAGUCAGUCAUGCUAGUGGGAAUCAACUUAGAGGAAACUCUGGGUGCACUUCUUCGCUUGGCAGGUUAGUGUCGAUUUUGGGUGUCAUAAAAUGACUGGGGGAAGGUAGCUCCCUUGGGAGUGUUAUAGCCCUUGGUAGAUGUGAUGUCUGGGAUCGAGGAUUGCAACGGAUACCCUUUAGGGCUAGUCACCUGAUCUCUAAUUAGUAUUGAAUUACGGACAGCAUGCUGGCCGUGAUUUAAUUAUUGGUUAAAAGGUUAGAGUGUACAUAAAUUUGUUAAGGACACUGACAUAAUGGCUUUAAACGACCCGUCUUGAAACACGGACCAAGGAGUCUAACAUGUAUGCGAGUGUUAGGGUAUUAAACCCAGACGCAAAAUUAAAGUGAGUGUAGGUGGGAUCCUUUAUUGGAGCACCAUCGACCGAUCUUGAGAUUCAUCGAUAGAAUUGAGUUAGAGCAUACCUGUUGGGACCCGAAAGAUGGUGAACUAUGCCUGAAUAGAGUGAAGCCAGAGGAAACUCUGGU
This 953-nucleotide ribosomal RNA is filed under the name Gigaspora sp. W2992. RNAcentral's name for it is "eukaryotic LSU rRNA". It matches the Rfam family "Eukaryotic large subunit ribosomal RNA", at positions 1 to 868 of the family's 3401-position model. The record is from RNAcentral. Lineage: Eukaryota; Fungi; Glomeromycota; Glomeromycetes; Diversisporales; Gigasporaceae.